UGAACCGGUUCUCGUUAGAUCACCGAAGUCAAGCAUCAUUGGGCACGGUCAGUAUUUGGGUGAGUGACCACCUGGGAACACCGCGUGCAGU
Molecule: ribosomal RNA, 91 nt
Filed under: Caerostris extrusa
Lineage: Eukaryota; Metazoa; Arthropoda; Arachnida; Araneae; Araneidae
Source: RNAcentral